GACGAACGCUGGCGGCGUGCUUAACACAUGCAAGUCGAACGAAGAGCGACGGAAGCUUGCUUCUAUCAAUCUUAGUGGCGAACGGGUGAGUAACGCGUAAUCAACCUGCCCUUCAGAGGGGGACAACAGUUGGAAACGACUGCUAAUACCGCAUACGAUCUAACCUCGGCAUCGAGGAUAGAUGAAAGGUGGCCUCUACAUGUAAGCUAUCACUGAAGGAGGGGAUUGCGUCUGAUUAGCUAGUUGGAGGGGUAGCGGCCCACCAAGGCGAUGAUCAGUAGCCGGUCUGAGAGGAUGAACGGCCACAUUGGGACUGAGACACGGCCCAGACUCCUACGGGAGGCAGCAGUGGGGAAUCUUCCGCAAUGGACGAAAGUCUGACGGAGCAACGCCGCGUGAGUGAUGACGGCCUUCGGGUUGUAAAGCUCUGUUAAUCGGGACGAAAGGCCUUCUUGCGAAUAGUGAGAAGGAUUGACGGUACCGGAAUAGAAAGCCGCGGCUAACUACGUG
Molecule: ribosomal RNA, 510 nt
Filed under: uncultured bacterium
Lineage: Bacteria
Description: partial 16S ribosomal RNA
Rfam family: Bacterial small subunit ribosomal RNA
Source: RNAcentral